Molecule: transfer RNA, 68 nt
Filed under: marine eukaryotic metagenome
Rfam family: tRNA
About the family: Transfer RNA (tRNA) molecules are approximately 80 nucleotides in length.
Source: RNAcentral
CUUGUAGCUCAGUGGUUAGAGCAGUGGACUCAUAAUCCAUUGGCCGUAGGUUCAAGUCCUACCAGGCG